Molecule: ribosomal RNA, 1038 nt
Filed under: Penicillus capitatus
Lineage: Eukaryota; Viridiplantae; Chlorophyta; Ulvophyceae; Bryopsidales; Halimedaceae
Description: bacterial SSU rRNA
Rfam family: Eukaryotic small subunit ribosomal RNA
Source: RNAcentral
GCGGGCGUCGUUUNUGUCGACGGUGCGUGUCGGACUUCACUGGCCGGUGCGCUCUCUGUCGGCGACGUUACUUUGAGGAAAUCAGAGUGCUCAAAGCAAGCGUUUGCUCGUGACUUCACUAGCAUGGAAUAACACAGAUGGGCUCUUUUUCGCAACGUUGGUCUGCGUCAACUGAGCAACGAUCGAUAGAGACGGUCGGGGGCAUUCGUAUUGCGCAGUUAGAGGUGAAAUUCUCCGAUCUGCGCAAGACGCACUAAUGCGAAAGCAGUUGCCAAGGACGUUCUCUUAUGAUCAAGAGCGAAAGUCGGGGGAUCAAAGAUGAUUAGAUACCGUCGUAGUCCCGACCAUAAAUGAUGCCAACUGAGCGUCGGCGACGCGGCUGUCAGCCGGACGUCGGCGCUCUUGAGAGAAAUUAAAGUCUUUGGGCUCCGGGGGUAGUAUGGUCGCAAGUCUGAAACUUGAAGGAAUUGACGGAAGGGCACCACAAGGCGUGGAUGUUGCGGCUUAAUUUGACUCAACACGGGAAAGCUUACUAGGUUUGGACACUUGAAUGAGGGACAUAUUGAAGCUCUUACCUUUUUUUGUGGAUGGUGGUGCAUGGUCGUUCUCAGCCCGUGGGUUGACCUGUCAGGUUUACUCCGGUAACGCGCGAGACCUCGGUUUGCUAAAUAGACACGGCUGUUUCGGCACCCGUGAUCUUCUUAGAGAGAGUCUUGACGAGAGUUGAGGGAAGUCGAGGCAAUAACAGAUCUGUGAUGCCCUUAGUUAUCCUAGGUCGCACGCGCCAUACAAUGUGGCGCACAACGAGUCUCCUAGGCCGACAGGAAUUCUCGUCGACGGCAGAUGCAUUGGUCCCGUGGGUUGGUGCAUCUACUUUUCGNAAGUGGAUCGCCGACGCGCGGUCGAUCUCGCGACGCUGUCGCGAGMACUUCUGGGCAAUCUUGCAGAGCGCUACGUGACUGGGCUAGACUUUUGUAAUUGUUGGUCUUGAACGAGGAAUGCCUAGUAAUCGCAGGUCAUUAUCCUGAGAUGAUUUGC